GGCUGAGCUAAUAGUGAGAAUUUGUUUGCUCAUUGCGGUCGCCUUGAAUCAUGUAUCCGGCAAUUAUUUGACGGAAUGCCCCGGUCUCGCAGGACCAGGUUGUUACUUCAAUGGCAGCAUGUACAAUGACGGUGCCUACCUAAUGAAUCAGUGCAUUGGCAUUCGCUGUGAAGGUAGCAACUGGGUACCUACAGGC
Long non-coding RNA from Penaeus indicus, 196 nucleotides. RefSeq lists it as uncharacterized. The transcript has 3 exons. Lineage: Eukaryota; Metazoa; Arthropoda; Malacostraca; Decapoda; Penaeidae. The record is from RefSeq and is a predicted model, not a curated record.